Molecule: ribosomal RNA, 513 nt
Filed under: Triticum aestivum (bread wheat)
Lineage: Eukaryota; Viridiplantae; Streptophyta; Magnoliopsida; Poales; Poaceae
Description: partial small subunit ribosomal RNA
Source: RNAcentral
AUGGAGACAGCGGCGGCGGCGACUGGACAGGGGAGGAUCCUUAGAAAAAUAAGGUUUCGUCUUAAGUUACUAGGGAUGGACUAUACCUCUUUAUCUUUACCUGCUAAUAAACCACCGAUCGCUUCUGGUCGUACGUCGUGGGUAAUUUUGCAGAAAAGUCCCUGUGCUCUUUUGUAUUCAACCCGCAGUCCAAAGCGAACCGGUAUGAAGGGAAAAAAACAUAGCCAGGCUUUGCCUCGGGCCGCUUCCUGCCCCGCCCCGCGCCGCCGGCCGCUUCCUGCCCCGCCCCGCCCGCGCCUCCGACUACCUCCUGCCCGGCCCCGCCCGCGCCGCCGGCCACCUCCUGCCCCGCCCCAUCUCCUCCUCAUCCGCGGAUUUCUUCGCUGUACACGGCUCCCCUGCACCUACUGGUCGCGACCUCACGGUAGGCAGAGAGGAUGGGAGGGUGCGGCGCUCGCGCCCGGAUCCCGGAGCUCGAGCGGACCGAUCUGCGCGUCGGCGACCUCGCGGUAG